Molecule: small RNA, 28 nt
Filed under: Bombyx mori (domestic silkworm)
Lineage: Eukaryota; Metazoa; Arthropoda; Insecta; Lepidoptera; Bombycidae
Description: ovarian small RNA-29864
Source: RNAcentral
UCUCUGUCUUGAGGUUUUCUUGGUGACC